UACGUAGGGUGCAAGCGUUAAUCGGAAUUACUGGGCGUAAAGCGUGCGCAGGCGGCUUCGCAAGUCAGACGUGAAAUCCCCAGGCUUAACCUGGGAACUGCGUCGGAUACUGGCGGGCUUGAAUCCGGGAGAGGGAUGCGGAAUUCCAGGUGUAGCGGUGAAAUGCGUAGAUAUCUGGAGGAACACCGGUGGCGAAGGCGGCAUCCUGGACCGGCAUUGACGCUGAAUAGCGAAAGCCAGGGGAGCAAACGGG
Molecule: ribosomal RNA, 253 nt
Filed under: uncultured bacterium
Lineage: Bacteria
Description: partial 16S ribosomal RNA
Rfam family: Bacterial small subunit ribosomal RNA
Source: RNAcentral